This 433-nucleotide ribosomal RNA is filed under the name uncultured bacterium. Its description in RNAcentral is "partial 16S ribosomal RNA". It matches the Rfam family "Bacterial small subunit ribosomal RNA", at positions 29 to 507 of the family's 1533-position model. The record is from RNAcentral.
AGCGAACGCUGGCGGCAGGCUUAACACAUGCAAGUCGAGCGGACCUUUCGGGGUCAGCGGCGGACGGGUGAGUAACGCGUGGGAACGUGCCUUCCGGUUCGGAAUAACCCUGGGAAACUAGGGCUAAUACCGGAUACGCCCUUAUGGGGAAAGGUUUACUGCCGGAAGAUCGGCCCGCGUCUGAUUAGCUAGUUGGUGGGGUAACGGCCUACCAAGGCGACGAUCAGUAGCUGGUCUGAGAGGAUGAUCAGCCACACUGGGACUGAGACACGGCCAAGACUCCUACGGGAGGCAGCAGUGGGGAAUAUUGGACAAUGGGCGCAAGCCUGAUCCAGCCAUGCCGCGUGAGUGAUGAAGGCCUUAGGGUUGUAAAGCUCUUUUAUCCGGGACGAUAAUGACGGUACCGGAGGAAUAAGCCCCGGCUAACUUCGUG